Molecule: ribosomal RNA, 454 nt
Filed under: uncultured organism
Description: partial 16S ribosomal RNA
Rfam family: Bacterial small subunit ribosomal RNA
Source: RNAcentral
GUACACUCCUGCGGGAGGCAGCAGUGGGGAAUAUUGGACAAUGGGCGCAAGCCUGAUCCAGCCAUGCCGCGUGAGUGAUGAAGGCCCUAGGGUUGUAAAGCUCUUUCACCGGUGAAGAUAAUGACGGUAACCGGAGAAGAAGCCCCGGCUAACUUCGUGCCAGCAGCCGCGGUAAUACGAAGGGGGCUAGCGUUGUUCGGAUUUACUGGGCGUAAAGCGCACGUAGGCGGACUAUUAAGUCAGGGGUGAAAUCCCGGGGCUCAACCCCGGAACUGCCUUUGAUACUGGUAGUCUUGAGUUCGAGAGAGGUGAGUGGAAUUCCGAGUGUAGAGGUGAAAUUCGUAGAUAUUCGGAGGAACACCAGUGGCGAAGGCGGCUCACUGGCUCGAUACUGACGCUGAGGUGCGAAAGCGUGGGGAGCAAACAGGAUUAGAAACCCUAGUAGUCCCAUGAU